RNAcentral lists this unclassified non-coding RNA (330 nucleotides) under soil metagenome. Its description in RNAcentral is "partial contains 5.8S ribosomal RNA, internal transcribed spacer 2, and large subunit ribosomal RNA". The stretch from base 1 to 120 matches the Rfam family "5.8S ribosomal RNA", at positions 35 to 154 of the family's 154-position model. The record is from RNAcentral.
GAUGAAGAACGUAGCGAAAUGCGAUAAGUAGUGUGAAUUGCAGAAUUCAGUGAAUCAUCGAAUCUUUGAACGCACAUUGCGCCCCUUGGUAUUCCAUGGGGCAUGCCUGUUCGAGCGUCAUUUGUACCCUCAAGCUUUGCUUGGUGUUGGGCGUCUUGUCGUAUUACGACUCGCCUUAAAUACAUUGGCAGCCGGCACUUUGGCCUAGGAGCGCAGCACAUUUUGCGAUCGUAGCCCGUUGUACUGGCGUCCAUCAAGAACAUUUACCACGUUUGACCUCGAAUCAGGUAGGGAUACCCGCUGAACUUAAGCAUAUCAAUAAGCGGAGGA